ACUCCUACGGGAGGCAGCAGUGAGGAAUAUUGGGCAAUGGGCGCAAGCCUGAACCAGCCAUGCCGCGUGAAGGAAGACUGCCCUAUGGGUUGUAAACUUCUUUUAGCACCAAGAAUGGUUACUACGAGUAGUGAUUGACG
Molecule: ribosomal RNA, 140 nt
Filed under: uncultured bacterium
Lineage: Bacteria
Description: partial 16S ribosomal RNA
Rfam family: Bacterial small subunit ribosomal RNA
Source: RNAcentral